Molecule: ribosomal RNA, 253 nt
Filed under: uncultured bacterium
Lineage: Bacteria
Description: partial 16S ribosomal RNA
Rfam family: Bacterial small subunit ribosomal RNA
Source: RNAcentral
UACGUAGGGCGCAAGCGUUGUCCGGAAUUAUUGGGCGUAAAGAGCUCGUAGGCGGCCAGUUGCGUCCGCUGUGAAAUCCCGGGGCUUAACCCCGGGCGUGCAGUGGAUACGGGCUGGCUAGAGGCAGGCAGGGGAGAACGGAAUUCCCGGUGUAGCGGUGAAAUGCGUAGAGAUCGGGAGGAACACCUGCGGCGAAAGCGGCUCACUGGACCAUAACUGACGCUGAUGCACGAAAGCUAGGGGAGCAAACAGG